CCUACGGGUGGCAGCAGUGAGGAAUAUUGGUCAAUGGGCGCGAGCCUGAACCAGCCAAGUCGCGUGAGGGAAGACGGUCCUAUGGAUUGUAAACCUCUUUUGUCGGGGAGCAAAUGACGCCACGCGUGCCGUUCCGAGAGUACCCGACGAAAAAGCAUCGGGAAACUCCGUGCCAGCAGCCGCGGUAAUACGGAGGAUGCGCGCGUUAUCCGGAUUUAUUGGGUUUAAAGGGUGCGCAGGCGGAAGAUCGAGUCAGCGGUAAAAGUGAGAGGCACAACCGCUUCGAGCCGUUAAAACUGGUUUGUUUGGGGGAGGGAGAGGAAUGCGGAUUGCGGGGGGUGGCGGUGAA
This 349-nucleotide ribosomal RNA is filed under the name uncultured bacterium. Its description in RNAcentral is "partial 16S ribosomal RNA". It matches the Rfam family "Bacterial small subunit ribosomal RNA", at positions 338 to 685 of the family's 1533-position model. The record is from RNAcentral.